UCCCUUGCCAUGCCUUAGUAGCGGCGAGUGAGCGGCAAAAGCUCAAAUUUGAAAUCUGGCUCUUUCAGAGUCCGAGUUGUAAUUUGAAGAAGGUAUCUUUGGGUCUGGCUCUUGUCUAUGUUUCUUGGAACAGAACGUCACAGAGGGUGAGAAUCCCGUGCGAUGAGAUGAUCCAGGCCUAUGUAAAGUUCCUUCGAAGAGUCGAGUUGUUUGGGAAUGCAGCUCUAAGUGGGUGGUAAAUUCCAUCUAAAGCUAAAUAUUGGCGAGAGACCGAUAGCGAACAAGUACAGUGAUGGAAAGAUGAAAAGAACUUUGAAAAGAGAGUGAAAAAGUACGUGAAAUUGUUGAAAGGGAAGGGCUUGAGAUCAGACUUGGUAUUUUGUAUGUUACUUCUUCGGGGGUGGCCUCUACAGUUUAUCGGGCCAGCAUCAGUUUGGGCGGUAGGAGAAUUGCGUUGGAAUGUGGCACGGCCUCGGUUGUGUGUUAUAGCCUUCGUCGAUACUGCCAGCCUAGACUGAGGACUGCGGUUUAUACCUAGGAUGUUGGCAUAAUGAUCUUAAGUCGCCCGUCUUGACCCCCCGAACCA
RNAcentral lists this ribosomal RNA (586 nucleotides) under Candida tropicalis. RNAcentral describes it as "partial large subunit ribosomal RNA". It matches the Rfam family "Eukaryotic large subunit ribosomal RNA", at positions 66 to 668 of the family's 3401-position model. Lineage: Eukaryota; Fungi; Ascomycota; Pichiomycetes; Serinales; Debaryomycetaceae. The record is from RNAcentral.